GUGUCAGCAGCCGCGGUAAUACGUAGGAUCCAAGCGUUAUCCGGAAUUACUGGGCGUAAAGCGUACGUAGGUGGGAGUUUAAGUGAGAUGCGAAAUCUGGCGGCUCAACCGUCAGACUGUGUCUCAUACUGGGCUCCUGGAGGUUGGCAGAGGCAAGUGGAAUUUCCGGUGUAGCAGUGAAAUGCGUAGAGAUCGGAAGGAACACCAAUGGCGAAGGCAGCUUGCUGGGCCACACCUGACACUGAGGUACGAAAGCGUGGGGAGCGAACAGGAUUAGAUACCCUGGUAGUCCACGCCGUAAACGAUGGAUGCUAGUAGUUCGAGGUAUCGACCCCUUGGGCUGCGAAGCUAACGCGUUAAGCAUCCCGCCUGGGGAGUACGAGCGCAAGCUUAAA
This 395-nucleotide ribosomal RNA is filed under the name uncultured bacterium. RNAcentral describes it as "bacterial SSU rRNA". It matches the Rfam family "Bacterial small subunit ribosomal RNA", at positions 505 to 898 of the family's 1533-position model. The record is from RNAcentral.